RNAcentral lists this long non-coding RNA (1119 nucleotides) under Pelusios castaneus (West African mud turtle). RNAcentral's name for it is "lncRNA (ENSPCEG00000004970.1)". The record is from RNAcentral. Lineage: Eukaryota; Metazoa; Chordata; Testudines; Pelomedusidae.
CUACAGUUCAUGACACAAUCUGCGUGGGUCAGACCUGUCUAUGGACUGCAUGUCCAGGCAGUAGGGACUCAUUCUACAGUGUAUAUGGGCUAUAUACACCCCACAGGGACUGCCCAGACUUCUAAUGUGGAAUGCAUCGUCUGACUUCCUUUCCCCCUGCCUGGGCCCAAGCCUACUUCUGUACCAGAGCCCUACAGCCUGGCACGUUUCUACAGACAGCUGCCUGGCAUAUUUCAAACAGUCACUGCAUCACACACCCUCCGUGGGACAGUUUGAAGGAGACUGGUUGAGCUGUACCAUCGGAGGGGGCAAUGUAAGGCUCUUGCUGGGACAGCGCACUGUGACAACGUCCAGUUCUGUUGGGGGAUGUCGCCCUGGGGGACCUCGAACAGCUCCUUCAAGCACAGUCCCAGGCCAUCUGUAAUUGCUCCAGAAGCAAAACCGCCUCAGAAACCACCGUGAACACAAGUUGCUCUGCAAAUCCAAUGCAGCAGCCCCUGGCUCCCCUCCAGUGCUUCGAUUUGGGGAUUAGACAGUCGCCAUCCCUACUGAUCAGGGUAUCAUGAAUGGCUCUGGGCUCAGUUCUCCUGCACCUGGUCAAAUUUUUUGCAGACACGAGCCAGGAUGACGGGGAGUGCCCAGGGAUGUGGUUCUCUCCCGGUAAUCAGCUCUGAGCCAUUUGAGCCUCUCUCUCCAUUUACCACCAGUCUGUCAAGUCGCAGCGUGGCCGGUUUAUCUCCUGUUUCAUGGAACACAUGGUCACUCCUGGUGCUCCUGCUAACCUUGCCUGUCUUGCUUGCCUCACAGCAGAGACCAGCCAGAUGCUGACCGUGGUCCCGUGACCAGGGAAGCAGCAUGCUUGGCAAAGGACUUCUAGCUAAUGCAGGAGAUGGUUAAGUCUGAUUCCAACUCAGUGGUCAAAAUAAAAUGGAAGGGUUAAUUGCUGAGCAGCUGUGUUUGAACCAGAUUUCUUCAGUACCCUGGAAGCCGAUUGCCUGGGCCUGGGAUAGAAAGGCCAAGAAACACUGGGAUCAUGGGAGAGUGUCGGCGGCUCUUAGGACAUGAGGAUUGGGGGUUUAUGGAGGCACAGAGUCCCUCCUGCAGGUCAGGGUGCCUCGU